Molecule: ribosomal RNA, 253 nt
Filed under: uncultured bacterium
Lineage: Bacteria
Description: partial 16S ribosomal RNA
Rfam family: Bacterial small subunit ribosomal RNA
Source: RNAcentral
UACGUAGGGGGCUAGCGUUGUCCGGAUUUAUUGGGCGUAAAGAGCGUGUAGGCGGCCAUGCAGGUCCGGUGUGAAAACUCGAGGCUUAACCUCGAGAUGUCAUCGGAAACCAUUUGGCUAGAGUCCGGAAGAGGGGAGUGGAAUUCCUGGUGUAGCGGUGAAAUGCGCAGAUAUCAGGAAGAACACCAAUGGCGAAAGCAGCUCUCUGGGACGGUACUGACGCUGACACGCGAAAGCGUGGGGAGCGAACAGG